CCCUUAGAUGUCCUGGGCCGCACGCGUGCUACACUAACGCAUACAGCGAGCACUUUCCAGUUCCGAGAGGCUACUGGUAAUCAUCAAUAUGCGUCGUGAUGGGGAUAGAUCUUUGGAAUUCUGGAUCUUGAACGAGGAGUGCCUAGUAAUCGCAGGUCAUUAGCCUGCGAUGAUUAAGUCCCUGCCCUUUGUACACACCGCCCGUCGCUACUACCGAUUUCGAGUGGUCAGGUGAAUCUUUCGGACUGUGGGCGCCCUUGAGGUGUUCGCGGAAAGUCAGGUAAAUCUUAUCACUUAGAGGAAGUAAAAGUCGUAACA
Molecule: ribosomal RNA, 318 nt
Filed under: uncultured eukaryote
Lineage: Eukaryota
Description: partial 18S ribosomal RNA
Rfam family: Eukaryotic small subunit ribosomal RNA
Source: RNAcentral